This 253-nucleotide ribosomal RNA is filed under the name uncultured bacterium. RNAcentral describes it as "partial 16S ribosomal RNA". It matches the Rfam family "Bacterial small subunit ribosomal RNA", at positions 524 to 776 of the family's 1533-position model. The record is from RNAcentral.
UACGGAGGGUGCAAACGUUGCUCGGAAUCAUUGGGCGUAAAGCGCACGUAGGCGGUCCGGCAAGUCGGAUGUGAAAUCCCUCGGCUCAACCGAGGAAGUGCAUUCGAAACUGCCAGACUUGAGUAUGGAAGAGGGUCGCGGAAUUCCCGGUGUAGAGGUGAAAUUCGUAGAUAUCGGGAGGAACACCAGUGGCGAAGGCGGCGACCUGGGCCAAUACUGACGCUGAGGUGCGAAAGCGUGGGGAGCAAACAGG